This 615-nucleotide ribosomal RNA is filed under the name uncultured bacterium. RNAcentral describes it as "bacterial SSU rRNA". It matches the Rfam family "Bacterial small subunit ribosomal RNA", at positions 78 to 715 of the family's 1533-position model. The record is from RNAcentral.
UGCUAGGAGCCGACGAGUGGCGAACGGGUGAGUAACGCGUAGGAAUCUGCCUUGCAGUGGGGGAUAACACUAGGAAACUGGUGCUAAUACCGCAUACGCCCUUAGGGGGAAAGAUUUAUUGCUGCAAGAUGAGCCUGCGUCAGAUUAGCUAGUUGGUGGGGUAAUGGCCUACCAAGGCGAAGAUCUGUAGCUGUUCUGAGAGGAAGAUCAGCCACACUGGGACUGAGACACGGCCCAGACUCCUACGGGAGGCAGCAGUGGGGAAUAUUGGACAAUGGGCGCAAGCCUGAUCCAGCAAUGCCACGUGUGUGAAGAAGGCCUGCGGGUUGUAAAGCACUUUCGGGAGGGAAGAAGGACACGUAAGUGUAUUGACGUUACCUCCAGAAGAAGCACCGGCUAACUCUGUGCCAGCAGCCGCGGUAAUACAGAGGGUGCGAGCGUUAAUCGGAAUUACUGGGCGUAAAGCGCGCGUAGGCGGUUAUUUAAGUUGGACGUGAAAUCCCUGAGCUUAACUUAGGAAUUGCGUCCAAAACUGGAUGACUGGAGUGGAGUAGAGGUGAGUGGAAUUUCCGGAGUAGCGGUGAAAUGCGUAGAUAUCGGAAGGAACACCAGUGG